GGAUGAACGCUAGCGAUAGGCCUAACACAUGCAAGUCGAGGGGCAGCACAUGAGUAGCAAUACGAUGGUGGCGACCGGCGCACGGGUGAGUAACACGUAUGCAACCUACCUUUAACAGGGGAAUAACCCGUUGAAAAACGGACUAAUGCCCCAUGACACAGGGGUCCCGCAUGGGAAUAUUUGUUAAAGAUUAAUCGGUUGAAGAUGGGCAUGCGUUCCAUUAGCUUGUUGGUGAGGUAACGGCCCACCAAGGCAACGAUGGAUAGGGGAACUGAGAGGUUUAUCCCCCACACUGGAACUGAGACACGGUCCAGACUCCUACGGGAGGCAGCAGUGAGGAAUAUUGGUCAAUGGAGGCAACUCUGAACCAGCCAAGUCGCGUGAAGGAUGAAGGUCUUAUGGAUUGUAAACUUCUUUUUCAAGGGAAUAAAGUGGGGGACGUGUCCUCCUUUGCAUGUACCUUGCGAAUAAGGAUCGGCUAACUCCGUGCCAGCAGCCGCGGUAAUACGGAGGAUCCGAGCGUUAUCCGGAUUUAUUGGGUUUAAAGGGUGCGCAGGCGGGAUGUUAAGUCGGCGGUGAAAUUUUGCAGCUCAACUGUAAAAGUGCCUUCGAUACUGGCUUCCUUGAGUGUGGAUGAAGUAGGCGGAAUUUGUGGUGUAGCGGUGAAAUGCUUAGAUAUCACGAGGAACUCCGAUUGCGCAGGCAGCUUACUAAACCACUACUGACGCUCAUGCACGAAGGCGUGGGGAUCAAACAGGAUUAGAUACCCUGGUAGUCCACGCAGUAAACGAUGAUUACUAGUUGUUAGCGAUACAAUGUGAGCGACUGAGCGAAAGCGUUAAGUAAUCCACCUGGGGAGUACGUUCGCAAGAAUG
RNAcentral lists this ribosomal RNA (875 nucleotides) under uncultured Bacteroidia bacterium. Its description in RNAcentral is "bacterial SSU rRNA". It matches the Rfam family "Bacterial small subunit ribosomal RNA", at positions 27 to 896 of the family's 1533-position model. Lineage: Bacteria; Pseudomonadati; Bacteroidota; Bacteroidia. The record is from RNAcentral.